Molecule: long non-coding RNA, 273 nt
Filed under: Lathyrus oleraceus (garden pea)
Lineage: Eukaryota; Viridiplantae; Streptophyta; Magnoliopsida; Fabales; Fabaceae
Description: Pisum sativum (pea) long non-coding RNA (PSAT_LNC019008)
Source: RNAcentral
AGCAAGAGGAUAACUUGUUUGGAGUGAAGGAGAUAAGUAUUUCUACCUGGUCAUAAGUAACUCAGGGAAAUAUUCUAACGACUGAGCUUAGCUCACAUAAGGCUUGGGGAAGGUGCUUUAGGGAUUGGAAUAGCUUGAGUGAAGGUUAGUGGAGGUUUCUGGGUGGUUAUUUUGAACUGAAACUCUCUGAAACCAAGAAAUACGAUUUAUGUUUUUGGAGCUUGGGUGAAAUAUGCUGAGGUAAUUGGGGGCCUUUUUUCAGCGUGCUUGAAC